GACAGAGGUGCCAAGCGUUAGGCGGAAUCACUGGGCUUAAAGCGUGUGUAGGUGGAUUUGUAAGUACCUUGUGAAAUCCCAUGGCUCAACCAUGGAACUGCUCGGUAUACUGCGAAUCUUGAGCCACUUAGGGGCUACCGGAACAAAUGGUGGGGCGGUGAAAUGCGUAGAUAUCAUUUGGAACGCCAAUGGUGAAAACAGGUAGCUGGGAGUGUGCUGACACUGAGACACGAAAGCCAGGGGAGCGAACGGG
Molecule: ribosomal RNA, 253 nt
Filed under: uncultured bacterium
Lineage: Bacteria
Description: partial 16S ribosomal RNA
Rfam family: Bacterial small subunit ribosomal RNA
Source: RNAcentral